RNAcentral lists this ribosomal RNA (409 nucleotides) under uncultured bacterium. Its description in RNAcentral is "bacterial SSU rRNA". It matches the Rfam family "Bacterial small subunit ribosomal RNA", at positions 55 to 507 of the family's 1533-position model. The record is from RNAcentral.
AUGCAGUCGAACGGGCUCUUCGGAGCAAGUGGCGGACGGGUGAGUAACGCGUGAGAAUGUGCCUUGAGGAUGGGGAUAACAAUAGGAAACUAAUGCUAAGACCCAAUGUGCCUUAAGUGGUGAAAAAUGAAAAUUGCCUGAAGAGGAGCUCGCGUCUGAUUAGCUAGUUGGGGUGGUAAAAGCGCACCAAGGCGACGAUCAGUAGCUGGUCUGAGAGGAUGAGCAGCCACACUGGGACUGAGACACGGCCCAGACUCCUACGGGAGGCAGCAGUGGGGAAUUUUCCGCAAUGGGCGAAAGCCUGACGGAGCAAUACCGCGUGAGGGAGGAAGGCUCUUGGGUUGUAAACCUCAAAACUUAGGGAAGAAAAAAAUGACGGUACCUAAUAUAAGCAUCGGCUAACUCCGUG